GCAGAGUACAGCGGCUACGGCUGUAACUGUUUAUCAACCGGUCAUGGAAAACCAGUCGAUGAUGUGGACAGGUGCUGUCAAGCUCACACCAAAUGCUACGAGCAAGUCUACAAAAUGAGUUGCUCACCGCAUUGGGACCCGUAUUACUUCUCCAUCAGAGGAAAAGCCAUACGCUGCACCCGUGGCGGACCGCCGUGCGACGUCCACACGUGCCGCUGCGACAAGGCUGCCGUGGAGUGCUUCGCUCGCAGCCACUUCAACCGACGCUACCGCAACUUCAACCGAAAGAGAUAUUGCAAAAAAGAAGACGACUAGGCACACCGGUCACAUUUAAUGAAACCGCAUUCACAUACGAACAGUGACGUUCCCAUGUAAUGAGUUUACCCGAGAAGAACAUUAUAAUAAAAAAACAUACUUCUGCAAAUAAUGUAUACAUUGUAACAACAAAUAAUUUGGACAAUUAAUUUGACUUCUGAAUCAAGAUUCAGUAACUAGUGGGUAAUAACCAACAAAAAAUGGGAUGUUUAAAACUAUCUUGAUCAUAUGUGACUGCAAAGGUGUGAUUCUCUUAGUGAUAUACUCUAGUAAUCCAGUUGUCAAAUUGUGUGGUGAUACGGCAUUUGGCAGUGCAAAAAAGCACAAUUAGCAGGAAAACAAAACGCCUUCGUCAAUAACACUACCUUUAAAAAAGUUUAGGCAAUGUCUUUGGGCAAUGGCCAUUCUUCAGAGAACACGUGCCAUUUCCCAAACCAUUGUCUAUCAGAGUACAUUACUGUACACACUUUAUUAAGGCAGUUUUAUUGUCAACCGUGUUCAGUUACCUUUUCGUGAUGGUAAAACAUACUUGCUGAUUUCUCUUUCUUUCAUGGUUCAAUUUCAAAUUUACAGCAUUGUACUUUGGGAAAUGAUGUUAUUGACGGUGUGGGGUUAAUGGUUGUGCUGUGAA
Petromyzon marinus (sea lamprey) is the source of this 946-nucleotide non-coding RNA. NCBI's taxonomy places the organism in Eukaryota, Metazoa, Chordata, Hyperoartia, Petromyzontiformes, Petromyzontidae. The record is from RefSeq and is a predicted model, not a curated record.